RNAcentral lists this ribosomal RNA (253 nucleotides) under uncultured bacterium. RNAcentral describes it as "partial 16S ribosomal RNA". It matches the Rfam family "Bacterial small subunit ribosomal RNA", at positions 524 to 776 of the family's 1533-position model. The record is from RNAcentral.
UACGUAGGUGGCGAGCGUUGUCCGGAUUUAUUGGGUUUAAAGGGUCCGUAGGCGGUUUUGUAAGUCAGUGGUGAAAGCCCAUCGCUCAACGGUGGAACGGCCAUUGAUACUGCAGGACUUGAAUUAUUAGGAAGUAACUAGAAUAUGUAGUGUAGCGGUGAAAUGCUUAGAGAUUACAUGGAAUACCAAUUGCGAAGGCAGGUUACUACUAAUGGAUUGACGCUGAUGGACGAAAGCGUGGGUAGCGAACAGG